This 253-nucleotide ribosomal RNA is filed under the name uncultured bacterium. RNAcentral's name for it is "partial 16S ribosomal RNA". It matches the Rfam family "Bacterial small subunit ribosomal RNA", at positions 524 to 776 of the family's 1533-position model. The record is from RNAcentral.
UACGUAGGGUGCGAGCGUUGUCCGGAAUUACUGGGCGUAAAGAGCUCGUAGGUGGUUUGUCGCGUUGUUCGUGAAAACCUGAGGCUUAACCUUGGGCGUGCGGGCGAUACGGGCAGACUGGAGUACUGCAGGGGAGACUGGAAUUCCUGGUGUAGCGGUGGAAUGCGCAGAUAUCAGGAGGAACACCGGUGGCGAAGGCGGUUCUCUGGGCAUGACCUGACGCUGAGGAGCGAAAGUGUGGGGAGCGAACAGG